Molecule: long non-coding RNA, 337 nt
Filed under: Capsicum annuum
Lineage: Eukaryota; Viridiplantae; Streptophyta; Magnoliopsida; Solanales; Solanaceae
Description: long non-coding RNA (CANN_LNC009800)
Source: RNAcentral
UGAGAUUGUUCGUCAACAUCAACGGUGAAUUUAAUGGAAACAGACAGUGGAUAUCAGUGCCGUUUACUCAUCCAGCAACAUUUGACACUGUCGUAAUGGAACAGGAUGUGAAGAACAAAGUCAAAGCUGAUUUGGAAACGUUCCUGAAAUCAAAGCAGCAUUAUAAUAGAAUCGGCCGGAUUUGGAAGCGGAAUUAUUUACUAUACGGACCUUCUGGGACAGGAAAAUCAACAUUCAUUUCCGCAAUUGCAAAUUUCCUAAGCUACGAUGUGUACAACAUUGAUUUGUCAAAAGUUACUGACAGCUCCGAUCUGAAAUUACUUCUAUUGCAGAGCAC